RNAcentral lists this ribosomal RNA (503 nucleotides) under uncultured bacterium. RNAcentral describes it as "bacterial SSU rRNA". It matches the Rfam family "Bacterial small subunit ribosomal RNA", at positions 8 to 474 of the family's 1533-position model. The record is from RNAcentral.
AGAGUUUGAUCAUGGCUCAGAUUGAACGCUGGCGGUAUGCUUAACACAUGCAAGUCGAACGGUAACAGUCCCUCACCUAGAAAUUUCUUAAAAAGAGAUUUGUAGGUGAGGGAGCUGACGAGUGGCGGACGGGUGCGUAAUGUAUAGGAAUCUGCCCGGUAGUGGGGGACAACUCGGAGAAAUUCGAGCUAAUACCGCAUAAGCCCUACGGGGGAAAACGGGGGAUCUUCGGACCUCGUGCUAUUAGAUGAGCCUAUAUUAGAUUAGCUUGUUGGUGAGGUAAUGGCUUACCAAGGCGACGAUCUAUAGCUGGUCUGAGAGGAUGAUCAGCCACACUGGGACUGAGACACGGCCCAGACUCCUACGGGAGGCAGCAGUGGGGAAUAUUGGACAAUGGGCGAAAGCCUGAUCCAGCAAUACCGCGUGUGUGAAGAAGGCCUGAGGGUUGUAAAGCACUUUCAAUUGGGAGGAAUACCUAAUAGUUAAUAGCUAUUAGAUUGACA